UGAAGACGUCGUCUCUGUGAUGAGGACAUGGCAGGAGGAGGAAGAGGCUCUCCCUGAGGAUCGGAGACCCACCAGUCAUGCCAGGGAACACUACCUCAAAGUGAUGGAGCAGGUUUUCAGUUGGUUCCAUAGACAUCUGAAAAUAGGGGACUCACUCUCAGAAGAAUUCCCAAGUCACAUGCUUCCUGAGGCAGUCGUGCCCCCGUCGAAGGAGCACAGCUAUGCACAGUGGCUGGAGAGGACGUACCAGCUUCCCAAGGAGUCUGGGGGCAUCCGUGAGGCGACCACCAACUCUCUUCCAUUUUCAGUCACUACACAACAGUCUGGUGCUGCACAUUCAGAUGAUAUAAUGAAUAAUGUGGAAUCCACGAGGGCUAAAGAUGCAAGGCAGUGUGCGUUGUGCCA
This 405-nucleotide long non-coding RNA is filed under the name Myripristis murdjan (pinecone soldierfish). RNAcentral describes it as "lncRNA (ENSMMDG00005001962.1)". Lineage: Eukaryota; Metazoa; Chordata; Actinopteri; Holocentriformes; Holocentridae. The record is from RNAcentral.